CUCCCUGCAAGUAGAGUGUUUAUUGUUGCCCAUUUUACAGAAAACAGAACCAAAGUCUGGCCCGUACAGGUACUAAAACAAACAUCCACCCGCCCACCCCCUCCUAUAUUCCUAGCCACCAAGGCCUGGGAGGAAGAGCAAGCCUAGCAUAGAUGAGGGGCAAAGUCCAGCAGGGAUGGAGUGGCCAGAGGGCGGGCUGGGCAGGUGCAGCUCCCGGUGGCCACAGCCUGGUAGGCAAGGGUGGGGAGGAAUCCUGGGCCGAGGUGGUUUCCGGCAGCCCCUUUGUUCCAGGGCACUAGGCGGGCAGGCAUCGAGGUAGUAAUCAGCAGACAGGGACGCUCAGCGACCCCUGGGCUCUGUCAUCAGCCUCGCUUUACUGGAGGAGAGACUGAGGCCUCCAGCUCCCAGCUGGGAGGGUGGAGAAGCCACACUACUCUGUAGCCCCUAGGAGGAAGUGAUGAGGACUCACAGGGAGGAGCCAGACCUGCCCACUGCCCUCAACCACCACCUUAAUGCCAGUUGUCAUUCCCCCUGAGCCUCCUUAAAGAUACAGCUCUGAGGUCUUUUCCUCCAGGCAGCCUUUCUUGAACACCCUCAGGCAAAGAGCGUUGUCUUCCUCUUCCUCGUCAGCUAAGGGCCCCUUUCUGACCCCCCUGGCUGGACUCAUCCCUACCAGGUCUACUCCUGCUCCCCCCACCUCCGGCCUGGAGUAGAGGAGGGAAAGGAUGAGGAGGGGGAUGUCUGAGACGCUACGGUAAACUGAAUAAUGGCCCCAAAGAUAUCCAGAUCCUAAUCCCUGGAAUCUGUGAAUCUGUUACCUUACAUGGCAAAAUGGAUUUUGCAGAUGUGAUUAAAUUAAGGAUGUUGAGCUGGGGGAUUAUCCUGGAUUAUCCAAAUGGGCUCACUGUAAUCACAGUGUCCUCAUAAGUGAAAGAGGGAAGCAGGAGAGUCAGAGAUUUGAAGAUACCUGCUGCCUUUGAAGAUAAGGAAGGAGCCACGGAAUGCAACUCUAAAGGCUGGAAAAGCUAAGGAAAUGAAUUCUCUCUUAGAGCCUCCAGGAGGAACUAGCCCAGCAGACACCUCGACUUUAGCCUGUUGAAACUCAUUUCAAGACUUCUGCCCUGCAGAACGGUAAGAUAAUUAGCAUGUGUUGUUCUAAGGAACUGAGUUGGUGGUAAUUUGUUGCAGCAACCAGAGAAAAUUAAUAUAGACUGCUAACCCUGCUCCUGCCCAACCAGGUCCCCUCCCUGUGGGGCUAGGCUGUGGCUGCCCAGUGACCCAGCACACUGGUCCCUGCCCCUGUGGGUGACAUCGGCACCUGGAUGUGGAACAAGAACUGGUCAGGGAAGACACUCCCUCAGACACCCUGAUGUUCCUCCUCCAGCUUCCCACCUGGAAGCAGCAGCUCACAUCAGGAGUUCCACUGGCAUGCCUAGGUCAGGGUCGCUGUGAGCUGGGUGGGCCGAGGGUGCCCACAGGCAUUCCCCAGCUACCUUGUAGUCACCUGCAAUGCCAUCACUCCCCAGAAAGCACCCACUGUGUGCCAGGCGCUGAGGACACACAUGUAAACAAAUCAAACAGGAGCCUUCAGCCCCAUAGAAGUCAUAUUUCUCUCUGGAAAAUGCUGGAUGCCCAACCACAGCACACAGCACCCCAACCCUGAGCAAAGUGAGGCAGGAAGGGGGCUCUAGGGCCUGAGGGGAGACAGAAGCUCAUGUUCAGUUUCUGCAGAGAGUGGCUGCUAACUACUCCUCAGUGACUAAUCCAGGAAGGCUUCUGAGAGGAGGACAGGCAUCCAAGAGCUGCCCUCCCUGGAGGCUGCUGUCUACUAGGAGGGCUGAGGCUUCACCUGGGGGAACAGGAGGGAUGCCAUGAAAGGCUGGUGGAGCCCUGGGGGAGGAGGUGCAAUAAUGAGAAAUUAAUGAGUGGAGAUGAAGGUGAUGAGGGCUCUAACAGCUAGGGAGAGGAGCCAGGAUCCCUUGGGUAGGCCAGGGAGGUCCAGGAGCAACCCCACCAAAUUAUGGGACACUAUCUGACCCAGAGGGCAGCCUUGGCCUCUUUGAACCUCGGUGACCAUAGCUGCCCACAGCAUAUUAGGGUCCCAUAAGCCACAACCCAUAGAGGAAGUCAAGGCUCCCAUUGCAAGUUGGUAUUCAGCCCCCUGGUGGUAGCCAGUCUUUGAGGCUCAGGCCCUAUCUGUCCCUCCUGAGCCCUGGUCAGGCCUGGUCACCCCUGCCCCUCCAGGCCCAAGUCCCAGCCAGGUGCACGGCAGCAACCCAGGACCAGCAUGGAGACAGCUGGAUCCCACUCAGGCCCAGCCUGCAGGCAGCAGAGUGGGAAACAAACUCCACAGCCUGGGGGAGCCAGCCUUGCAGUGGGCCAGUCAGGGGGUGUGGUCAGGAAUAAGAGCAGCAGCUUUGCCCUCCAAAGAUGGGGCCCCCCAGCCACCUGCGGUGAGCACAAAGGAUGAGCAGAUCAGAGCCUUCAGUCCCUGGUACUGGCCGAGGAUGCUCCCCCAGGGCUCUGACGAUGACUAGGGGGGCACUCAGGAGGACCCUGUGAGGAUCAGGGCUGGGGGGUGCCCCAGGAGGGCCCCUGCAGAUGUCGGUCAGGGAGCUCACCAGCUGGGUUCCCACGAGUGAUGAGGAUCAAGAGUACUCCCAAUUGGAUUCUCACGGAGACCAGGUUUAGGAGCACUUUCCAGCAGGACCUUUACAAAGAUGGAGGUCAGUGCACCCUCAGCCUGAUGCCCAUGGGAUUGGGGUCGGGGUGCCCCCAGAGGCUCCCUGUGGGAACAACGGUAGGGUUGCUCCUUGAGAGGGUCCCUGCCCUGUGGUGAUGGUGCCGGGAAUGAUCCCGCCAGGCCUCUCUGUGGAAAAAUGGGUGCUUGCCAUGCACCCUGCUGAGGCCUCUACGGGGACCAUGGCGAGUGGUCCCGGCCAUAUGACACUAAGGUCUCCAAGCCUUGGGACAGGGCCUGCAGCACAUUCGCGUUUACUGAGGCGUCCACACUCUCCUCCUGCCCCGUGCUUGCGGGGCCCAGCUGGGUCCAGCCUCCACCCCCCACAUGCGGUCCGAGGGCCUGUCCUCUCGCUCCUCGGCCUCCGCCAGGUCUUCGGGGACCCCCUCGGCCUCCGGCGCGUCCUCCUCAGCCCCUGGCCGGGCGGCGUCCAGGACAGGGCCCGCGGGGCGCGGCGUCCAGGCGGGGGUCCAGGGCGCCCCGGGCGUGGGCCGCGGCGCGAACCAGGGAAGGCCGGGCGCCGGGGCGAGCGCUACGAGCUGGGGCCGCGCGGGGCCGGAGGCGGCGGCGUGCGGGAUGAGAAAGAAGAUGUAGACGCCGGAGACCACGAGGCCCGCGGCCACCAGCACGGCCAGCGCCACGGCCGCGUUGAAGAGCCAGGUGGUGCUGGCCAGCGUCCGGCGGCGCGACAGCGGGCGGCCGAGGCGCAGCGGCGGCGGCGGCGGCGGGAGCGCGGCGCGGGCCU
This 3485-nucleotide long non-coding RNA is filed under the name Equus caballus (horse). RNAcentral describes it as "lncRNA (ENSECAG00000046739.1)". The record is from RNAcentral. Lineage: Eukaryota; Metazoa; Chordata; Mammalia; Perissodactyla; Equidae.